Molecule: ribosomal RNA, 497 nt
Filed under: uncultured bacterium
Lineage: Bacteria
Description: partial 16S ribosomal RNA
Rfam family: Bacterial small subunit ribosomal RNA
Source: RNAcentral
GAUGAACGCUGGCGGCGUGCCUAAUACAUGCAAGUCGAGCGAACGGACGAGAAGCUUGCUUCUCUGAUGUUAGCGGCGGACGGGUGAGUAACACGUGGAUAACCUACCUAUAAGACUGGGAUAACUUCGGGAAACCGGAGCUAAUACCGGAUGAUAUUUUGAACCGCAUGGUUCAAAAGUGAAAGACGGUCUUGCUGUCACUUAUAGAUGGAUCCGCGCUGCAUUAGCUAGUUGGUAAGGUAAUGGCUUACCAAGGCAACGAUACAUAGCCGACCUGAGAGGGUGAUCGGCCACACUGGAACUGAGACACGGUCCAGACUCCUACGGGAGGCAGCAGUAGGGAAUCUUCCGCAAUGGGCGAAAGCCUGACGGAGCAACGCCGCGUGAGUGAUGAAGGUCUUCGGAUCGUAAAACUCUGUUAUUAGGGAAGAACAUAUGUGUAAGUAACUGUGCACAUCUUGACGGUACCUAAUCAGAAAGCCACGGCUAACUACGUG